CAGCCGCCACGGGAAUACGUAGGGUCCGAGCGUUGUCCGGAAUUAUUGGGCGUAAAGGGCUCGUAGGCGGUUUGUCGCGUCGGGAGUGAAAACCAGGUGCUUAACACCUGGCCUGCUUUCGAUACGGGCAGACUAGAGGCAUUCAGGGGAGAACGGAAUUCCUGGUGUAGCGGUGAAAUGCGCAGAUAUCAGGAGGAACACCGGUGGCGAAGGCGGUUCUCUGGGAAUGUUCUGACGCUGAGGAGCGAAAGUGUGGGGAGCGAACAGGAUUAGAUACCCCCGUAGUCCCUGUCUCUUAUAA
Molecule: ribosomal RNA, 301 nt
Filed under: uncultured bacterium
Lineage: Bacteria
Description: partial 16S ribosomal RNA
Rfam family: Bacterial small subunit ribosomal RNA
Source: RNAcentral